CCUACGGGCGGCAGCAGUAGGGAAUUUUCGGCAAUAGGGGGAACCCUGACCGAGCAACGCCGCGUGAACGAAGAAGUUAUUCGUAAUGUAAAGUUCUUUUAACAGGGAAGAAAGAGAAAUUUGACGGUACCUGAAGAAUAAGCCCCGGCUAACUACGUGCCAGCACCCGCGGUAAUACGUAGGGAGCGAGCGUUAUCCGGAAUUAUUGGGCGUAAAGGGGGCGUAGAUGGCAGAGUAAGUCUUUUGUAAAAAUGCUGGUCUAAACCCAGUAGGGCAAAAGAUACUGCAAAGCUAGAGUAUGAGAGAGGCAAGUGGAAGUAGAUGUGUAGCGGUAAAAUGCGUAGAUAUAUGUAAGAACACCAGUGGCGAAGGCGGCUUGCUGGGUCGAUACUGACAUUGAGGCACGAAAGCGUGGGGAGCAAACAGGAUUAGAUACCCUUGUAGUC
This 446-nucleotide ribosomal RNA is filed under the name uncultured bacterium. RNAcentral describes it as "partial 16S ribosomal RNA". It matches the Rfam family "Bacterial small subunit ribosomal RNA", at positions 338 to 795 of the family's 1533-position model. The record is from RNAcentral.